GCCAGUUCAUGCUUUUACAGUAUGAAAAUUGGUGAUUUAUAAUAACUUAGCAAAUCGCAAAGUGAAAACAGGCGAUAAAUCAUUCAAGUUUCUGACCUAUCAGCUUUCGACGGUAUGGUAUUGGCUUACCGUGGCAGUGACGGUUAACGGGGGAUUAGGGUUCGAUUCCGGAGAGGGAGCCUGAGAAACGGCUACCACAUCUAAGGAAGGCAGCAGGCGCGCAAAUUACCCAAUUCUAACAGUUUGAGAGAGGUAGUAACAAGAAAUAACAAUACAAGGCAGUUAAAAUGCUUUGUAAUUGGAAUGAUAGAAAUUUAAACCCUUUUUAAAGUAUCAAUUGGAGGGCAAGUCUGGUGCCAGCAGCCGCGGUAAUUCCAGCUCCAAUAGCGUAUAUAAAAAUUGUUGCAGUUAAAAAGCUCGUAGUUGAAGUUCUGCUGAAAGUAACCGGUCUGCUUUUAAUAAAAGUGGUAUCUUGGUAUGUAUUUAGCAAUGAUGUCCUUUGAAGUGUUUUUUACUUUAUUGUAAUAAAGCAUAUUCAGGACUUUUACUUUGAGAAAAUUAGAGUGUUUCUAGCAGGCUAACGCUUUGAAUACUGCGC
RNAcentral lists this ribosomal RNA (598 nucleotides) under Hepatozoon canis. RNAcentral describes it as "bacterial SSU rRNA". It matches the Rfam family "Eukaryotic small subunit ribosomal RNA", at positions 221 to 808 of the family's 1831-position model. Lineage: Eukaryota; Apicomplexa; Hepatozoidae. The record is from RNAcentral.